Molecule: long non-coding RNA, 1053 nt
Filed under: Olea europaea subsp. europaea
Lineage: Eukaryota; Viridiplantae; Streptophyta; Magnoliopsida; Lamiales; Oleaceae
Source: RNAcentral
UUUUCUUACAGCUAUGACUUGUGUGUACAAUGGGAAAAUUACUAUAUUACUAUAAGAUAGUUGUCGAACAUCGAACCCCAGUGACAGACGAAAUACCAACCAUUGUAAAUAAACGCAACUAUAAAAUAUAUUUAUUUCUUAAAUUUGUUUUAAAUUUUGAAAAAUGUCUCUGAAAUAUCUGUUUGGUGCAAGUUGGUCCCUGAAGAUUCUGUUCAUGGCUGAAUAUAACUGAAUUAUAUGUAUUGUGCUCUCAAGUCCCUGAAUUUUCAGAUAGUUGCAAUUGAGUCCCCUCCUCUUCUGGAAUCUGAAUUUUGAUCCCCUGGAUUGUUCUACCCAUUCCCUGGAGGUCCGUUUAAAAGUUAACACGGGACGAGUAAUUAGAUUAGCUCCAUUAGAAUAGCACACCAGGCUCCCAAAAUCUUUGCCCAAUCGGACCACAGCAAAAGUCUGGCCCGUCGAUUAUAAUUGUCUCUUCUUUAUUCUUUUUAUUGGUUCUUUCAUGUGAUGAAUUUUGCCAGUUGUGCACUAUUUUCUUUAUGCAAUUGUUGACAUUGCCUUAUGUCAUUGUUCUGGUACACACCAAAACACCAACCAUGAUUGUUAUAAGAUUAGGUCACAUAAAUUGCCAAGUUAUUUCUUUCAAAUAAAAAGUAAAAAUAUUCCACGUUAUUUGCACAAGUUUAAUAAUAAUAAUUGGAAAUUUUAUAAUAGUAAUAUGUGUUCCUUUUUUAAAACUGUGAUAUGAUCUUCUCUCUCUCUUUUAUUUUUUUCCUUUUUUUGCUCGUAGAAAUUCUUUUAUUGCUUUUUGUUCUGUUUAUUUCAAGUAUUUAUGUAAGUUGUUCACUUGCAUUGGCAUUUUUUGAAGGGUCUUCUCACGGUAGCAUGGUGAAAUUUUAUCAAUUUUUCAUACUUUUUUUUCAUAACAUAAUUAUGUAUAAAAUUAUCAAAUUUUCCUGAUUAAAGAAAGGCCGCCUUCAUCCACAACCUUGUCUUCCGCCAUCCCCUGUCCUGACCCCAAUAGCAAACUAACAGCCACCACCACCUUCAGCAACC